Molecule: ribosomal RNA, 440 nt
Filed under: uncultured bacterium
Lineage: Bacteria
Description: bacterial SSU rRNA
Rfam family: Bacterial small subunit ribosomal RNA
Source: RNAcentral
CCUANGGGUGGCAGCAGUGGGGAAUCUUGCACAAUGGGGGAAACCCUGAUGCAGCGACGCCGCGUGAGCGAUGAAGCCCUUCGGGGUGUAAAGCUCUUUCGACAGGAACGAUAAUGACGGUACCUGGAGAAGAAGCUGCGGCUAACUACGUGCCAGCAGCCGCGGUAAUACGUAGGCAGCAAGCGUUGUUCGGAGUUACUGGGCGUAAAGAGUAUGUAGGCGGUUAUCUAAGUCUGGUGUGAAAUCUCCCGGCUCAACUGGGAGGCUGCAUUAGAUACUGGAUAGCUUGAGCGUGGGAGAGGAAAGCGGAAUUUCUGGUGUAGCGGUGAAAUGCGUAGAUAUCAGAAGGAACACCUGCGGUGAAGACAGCUUUCUGGACCACAGCUGACGCUGAGAUACGAAAGCGUGGGUAGCAAACAGGAUUAGAUACCCGUNUANUC